GACGAACGCUGGCGGCGUGCUUAACACAUGCAAGUCGAACGCUGAAGCUUGGUGCUUGCACUGGGUUGAUGAGUGGCGAACGGGUGAGUAAUACGUGAGUAACCUGCCCUUGACUCUGGGAUAAGCCUGGGAAACUGGGUCUAAUACUGGAUACGACAUGUCACCGCAUGGUGGUGUGUGGAAAGGGUUUUACUGGUUUUGGAUGGGCUCACGGCCUAUCAGCUUGUUGGUGGGGUAAUGGCUCACCAAGGCGACGACGGGUAGCCGGCCUGAGAGGGUGACCGGCCACACUGGGACUGAGACACGGCCCAGACUCCUACGGGAGGCAGCAGUGGGGAAUAUUGCACAAUGGGCGGAAGCCUGAUGCAGCGACGCCGCGUGAGGGAUGACGGCCUUCGGGUUGUAAACCUCUUUCAGCACGGAAGAAGCGAAAGUGACGGUACGUGCAGAAGAAGCGCCGGCUAACUACGUG
Molecule: ribosomal RNA, 472 nt
Filed under: uncultured bacterium
Lineage: Bacteria
Description: partial 16S ribosomal RNA
Rfam family: Bacterial small subunit ribosomal RNA
Source: RNAcentral